Sebastes umbrosus (honeycomb rockfish) is the source of this 472-nucleotide non-coding RNA. NCBI's taxonomy places the organism in Eukaryota, Metazoa, Chordata, Actinopteri, Perciformes, Sebastidae. The record is from the annotation of a RefSeq genome assembly.
AAUAUGCAAAUGAAGGUGACUUCUAAAGAAGUGAGUGAGUGUCAGUGAGAGACAGAAGAGCUCCAUCAGCUCAGCUUCAACAUCAACCAUGUUCUCUGGAGCUCUGAUACUGCUGCUGGCAGCUGGAUCCUGUGUGAACAGUAUUGAUCUCAUCCAGCCAGACUCAAUGGUUGUGCAGCCUGGACAGUCUUUGACCAUCACCUGUCAGGUCUCUGGUUAUUCUCUGACUGAUGACAGCUAUGCAACCGGUUGGAUCAGACAGUGUGAAGGAAAACCAAUGGACUGGAUUUCCCAUCAGUGGGGAACAAGUGGCCUUGUUCAAAAUAAUGCUCUGAAGAACAAGUUCAGCUACAGCAGAGACACUUCUGCUGGAACAGUGACUCUAAACGGACAGAACGUGCAGCCUGAAGACUCUGCUGUGUAUUACUGUGCCAUACAGCCAGACAGCCACAACAACACAAACCAUCAGUAG